GGGUGUGUAGCUCAGCUGGCUAGAGCACUUCACUGAUAAUGAAGAGGUCGGAGGUUCGAGUCCUCCCACACCCACCU
RNAcentral lists this transfer RNA (77 nucleotides) under Candidatus Ryanbacteria bacterium RIFCSPLOWO2_02_FULL_45_11c. RNAcentral describes it as "tRNA-Ile". It matches the Rfam family "tRNA". From Rfam's summary of the family: Transfer RNA (tRNA) molecules are approximately 80 nucleotides in length. Their secondary structure includes four short double-helical elements and three loops (D, anti-codon, and T loops). The record is from RNAcentral. Lineage: Bacteria; Candidatus Ryaniibacteriota.